Molecule: ribosomal RNA, 292 nt
Filed under: uncultured bacterium
Lineage: Bacteria
Description: partial 16S ribosomal RNA
Rfam family: Bacterial small subunit ribosomal RNA
Source: RNAcentral
GUGCCAGCCGCCGCGGUAACACGUGGGAGGCGAGCGUUGUCCGGAGUUACUGGGCGUAAAGCGCGCGCAGGCGACCUCGCAGGCAGUCCGUGAAAGUCCCCGGCUCAACCGGGGAGGGUCGGGCUGAACCGCGAGGCUGGAGGCCGGCAGAGGCGGGUGGAAUUCCCGGAGGAGCAGUGAUAUGCGUAGAUACCGGGAGGAACGCCCGAGGUGAAGACGGCCCGCUGGGCCGGUCCUGACGCUGAAGCGCGAAGGCUAGGGGAGCGAACGGGAUUAGAAACCCGAGUAGUCC